UGUCUGCUUUCGUGCGAUGGUUCUCGGACGCCCAAUUUGCUGACGAGAUGAAAAGGGAACACGGUGAGGCGUAGCCAAUAGGCACCAAAUCCGUGACUGCCCCCGCAACUGUGAGCGGUGAGCACCCCCAGCGAAAACCACUGGACGAUGCGUCUGGGAAGGUUUGGGGGAACGCAACGAUCCGCAAGUCAGGAGACCUGCCAUCACCGGCGUGCAUCC
Molecule: non-coding RNA, 219 nt
Filed under: Pseudooctadecabacter jejudonensis
Lineage: Bacteria; Pseudomonadati; Pseudomonadota; Alphaproteobacteria; Rhodobacterales; Paracoccaceae
Source: RNAcentral